CGUGCCGUCCACCGACGGUCGGCAGGCGAUCCGCGUCGGUCGCGCUGGGUGGUAUGGUUCCCCAGAGGCCGGUUCUUGUGCUGCCUACCCCUUCAGGGGAAGAGCUCCAAACUCGAUGUAAGCCUCCAUCCGGCGCCCUCCAGAGGGCGCGGGAGGACAACGGAGCACCCCCCGCGUUCCACCGAGCCUCCUCGGUCGGGUGGCCCGGGGGGACGUGCGAUGCUCUUGGACCCAGCGAACGCCGGGGGCGAGGACUCACGUCCCGGUCCCAAGUGAAGCAACGGUAUAACGCCGACGGCCGCUCCCGCCCCCCGACCGCCCCGGCGGCGCGGGGGCGAAGGCGCGGCGUCGCUGAGGAAUGCUACCU
RNAcentral lists this unclassified non-coding RNA (367 nucleotides) under Acacia pubicosta. RNAcentral describes it as "partial external transcribed spacer". Lineage: Eukaryota; Viridiplantae; Streptophyta; Magnoliopsida; Fabales; Fabaceae. The record is from RNAcentral.